AGCGACGUCAAACCGAUAAAACAGCAGUGUAAAGUGAGCCGCAGGGCGCUUUGCGCGACAGCGCAAAGGCAGGCGGUUUCGCGUAGCGAAAGCGAAUGCUUUGGGGUGGGGUGACUGCGUACCUUUUGUAUAAUGGGUCAGCGACUUAUAUUCUGUAGCAAGGUUAACCGAAUAGGGGAGCCGGAGGGAAACCGAGUCUUAAUUGGGCGUUAAGUUGCAGGGUAUAGACCCGAAACCCGGUGAUCUAGCCAUGGGCAGGUUGAAGGUUGGGUAACACUAACUGGAGGACCGAACCGACUAAUGUUGAAAAAUUAGCGGAUGACCUGUGGCUGGGGGUGAAAGGCCAAUCAAACCGGGAGAUAGCUGGUUCUCCCCGAAAGCUAUUUAGGUAGCGCCUCGUGAAUUCAUCUCCGGGGGUAGAGCACUGUUUCGGCUAGGGGGCCAUCCCGGCUUACCAACCCGAUGCAAACUGCGAAUACCGGAGAAUGUUAUCACGGGAGACACACGGCGGGUGCUAACGUCCGUCGUGAAGAGGGAAACAACCCAGACCGCCAGCUAAGGUCCCAAAGUCAUGGUUAAGUGGGAAACGAUGUGGGAAGGCCCAGACAGCCAGGAUGUUGGCUUAGAAGCAGCCAUCAUUUAAAGAAAGCGUAAUAGCUCACUGGUCGAGUCGGCCUGCGCGGAAGAUGUAACGGGGCUAAACCAUGCACCGAAGCUGCGGCAGCGACACUGUGUGUUGUUGGGUAGGGGAGCGUUCUGUAAGCCUGCGAAGGUGGCCUGUGAGGGUUGCUGGAGGUAUCAGAAGUGCGAAUGCUGACAUAAGUAACGAUAAAGCGGGUGAAAAGCCCGCUCGCCGGAAGACCAAGGGUUCCUGUCCAACGUUAAUCGGGGCAGGGUGAGUCGACCCCUAAGGCGAGGCCGAAAGGCGUAGUCGAUGGGAAACGGGUUAAUAUUCCCGUACUUGGUGUUACUGCGAAGGGGGGACGGAGAAGGCUAUGUUGGCCGGGCGACGGUUGUCCCGGUUUAAGCGUGUAGGUGUGUGUUCCAGGUAAAUCCGGUUCACUUUAACACUGAGGCGUGACGACGAGGCACUACGGUGCUGAAGCAACAAAUGCCCUGCUUCCAGGAAAAGCCUCUAAGCAUCAGGUAACAUCAAAUCGUACCCCAAACCGACACAGGUGGUCAGGUAGAGAAUACCAAGGCGCUUGAGAGAACUCGGGUGAAGGAACUAGGCAAAAUGGUGCCGUAACUUCGGGAGAAGGCACGCUGACACGUAGGUGAAGUGAUUUACUCAUGGAGCUGAAGUCAGUCGAAGAUACCAGCUGGCUGCAACUGUUUAUUAAAAACACAGCACUGUGCAAACACGAAAGUGGACGUAUACGGUGUGACGCCUGCCCGGUGCCGGAAGGUUAAUUGAUGGGGUCAGCGCAAGCGAAGCUCCUGAUCGAAGCCCCGGUAAACGGCGGCCGUAACUAUAACGGUCCUAAGGUAGCGAAAUUCCUUGUCGGGUAAGUUCCGACCUGCACGAAUGGCGUAAUGAUGGCCAGGCUGUCUCCACCCGAGACUCAGUGAAAUUGAACUCGCUGUGAAGAUGCAGUGUACCCGCGGCAAGACGGAAAGACCCCGUGAACCUUUACUAUAGCUUGACACUGAACAUUGAGCCUUGAUGUGUAGGAUAGGUGGGAGGCUUUGAAGUGUGGACGCCAGUCUGCAUGGAGCCGACCUUGAAAUACCACCCUUUAAUGUUUGAUGUUCUAACGUGGACCCGUUACCCGGGUUGCGGACAGUGUCUGGUGGGUAGUUUGACUGGGGCGGUCUCCUCCUAAAGAGUAACGGAGGAGCACGAAGGUUGGCUAAUCCUGGUCGGACAUCAGGAGGUUAGUGCAAUGGCAUAAGCCAGCUUGACUGCGAGCGUGACGGCGCGAGCAGGUGCGAAAGCAGGUCAUAGUGAUCCGGUGGUUCUGAAUGGAAGGGCCAUCGCUCAACGGAUAAAAGGUACUCCGGGGAUAACAGGCUGAUACCGCCCAAGAGUUCAUAUCGACGGCGGUGUUUGGCACCUCGAUGUCGGCUCAUCACAUCCUGGGGCUGAAGUAGGUCCCAAGGGUAUGGCUGUUCGCCAUUUAAAGUGGUACGCGAGCUGGGUUUAGAACGUCGUGAGACAGUUCGGUCCCUAUCUGCCGUGGGCGCUGGAGAACUGAGGGGGGCUGCUCCUAGUACGAGAGGACCGGAGUGGACGCAUCACUGGUGUUCGGGUUGUCAUGCCAAUGGCACUGCCCGGUAGCUAAAUGCGGAAGAGAUAAGUGCUGAAAGCAUCUAAGCACGAAACUUGCCCCGAGAUGAGUUCUCCCUGAGACUUAGAGUCUCCUGAAGGAACGUUGAAGACGACGACGUUGAUAGGCCGGGUGUGUAAGCGCAGCGAUGCGUUGAGCUAACCGGUACUAAUGAACCGUGAGGCUUAACCUUACAACGCCGAAG
This 2475-nucleotide ribosomal RNA is filed under the name Salmonella enterica. RNAcentral's name for it is "partial 23S ribosomal RNA". It matches the Rfam family "Bacterial large subunit ribosomal RNA". The record is from RNAcentral. Lineage: Bacteria; Pseudomonadati; Pseudomonadota; Gammaproteobacteria; Enterobacterales; Enterobacteriaceae.